Molecule: ribosomal RNA, 700 nt
Filed under: uncultured bacterium
Lineage: Bacteria
Description: bacterial SSU rRNA
Rfam family: Bacterial small subunit ribosomal RNA
Source: RNAcentral
AGAGUUUGAUCAUGGCUCAGGACGAACGCUGGCGGCGCACCUCAUGCAUGCAAGUCGAACGAUAACUAGCUCAUUCGUAAGAAUGAGUUAGGGACAGUGGCGAACGGGUGCGUAACACGUGAGAAACCUGCCCUGGAGACCGGGAUAGCCCGAGGAAACUCGGAUUAAUACCGGAUACCCUCUCGAGACCACAUGGUCUGGUGAGGAAAUGGUCCGCCGCUCCAGGAUGGUCUCGCGGCCUAUCAGCUUGUUGGUGAGGUAAUGGCUCACCAAGGCUCCGACGGGUAGCUGGUCUGAGAGGACGAUCAGCCACACUGGGACUGAGACACGGCCCAGACUCCUACGGGAGGCAGCAGCAGGGAAUAUUGCACAAUGGGCGAAAGCCUGAUGCAGCGACGCCGCGUGCGGGAUGAAGGCCUUCGGGUUGUAAACCGCUUUCAGGAGGGACGAAAAUGACGGUACCUCCAGAAGAAGGCCCGGCCAACUACGUGCCAGCAGCCGCGGUAAUACGUAGGGGCCAAGCGUUGUCCGGAUUUAUUGGGCGUAAAGGGCUCGUAGGCGGUUUGACAAGUCGGACGUGAAAACCCGGGGCUCAACCCCGGGACGCCGUUCGAAACUGUCAUGACUAGGGUCCGGUAGAGGUGAGUGGAAUUCUCGGUGUAGCGGUGGAAUGCGCAGAUAUCGAGAGGAACACCAGUAG